RNAcentral lists this transfer RNA (73 nucleotides) under Candidatus Nasuia deltocephalincola. Its description in RNAcentral is "Candidatus Nasuia deltocephalinicola tRNA-Thr". It matches the Rfam family "tRNA". From Rfam's summary of the family: Transfer RNA (tRNA) molecules are approximately 80 nucleotides in length. Their secondary structure includes four short double-helical elements and three loops (D, anti-codon, and T loops). The record is from RNAcentral. Lineage: Bacteria; Pseudomonadati; Pseudomonadota; Betaproteobacteria.
GCCGGUUUAGCUCAUUAGGUAGAGCAUCUGAUUUGUAAUUAGAUGGUAAUAGGUUCGAUUCCUAUAGCCGGUA